GACGAACGCUGGCGGCGUGCCUAAUACAUGCAAGUCGAACGCAGUGGGGACGGGUGAGUAACACGUGGGUAACCUCCCAUCAGAGGGGAUAACCAUUGGAAACAGGUGCUAAACCGAUACUGAUGGAUGGCGCCGCGGUGCAUUAGCUAGUUGGUGAGGGAACGGCUCAUCAAGGCCACGAUGCAUACCCGACCGGAGAGGGUGAUCGGCCACACUGGGACUGAGACACGGACCAGACUCCGACGGGAGGCAGCAGUGGGGAAUCUUCCACAAUGGACGAAAGUCUGAUCGAGCAACGCCGCGUGAGUGAAGAAGGUUUUAGGAUCGUAAAGCUCUGUUAUUAGAGAGGCGUUAUCUGACCAGAAAGCCACGGCUAACGACGUGCCAGCAGCCGCGGUAAUUC
This 403-nucleotide ribosomal RNA is filed under the name uncultured bacterium. RNAcentral describes it as "partial 16S ribosomal RNA". It matches the Rfam family "Bacterial small subunit ribosomal RNA", at positions 28 to 526 of the family's 1533-position model. The record is from RNAcentral.